Molecule: non-coding RNA, 66 nt
Filed under: unclassified sequences
Description: S15-Flavobacteria ribosomal protein leader
Rfam family: S15-Flavobacteria ribosomal protein leader
Source: RNAcentral
UAUAUUUGCACUUUCAAUAGAAAAUCUGUUGAAAUACAUAAAAAUCAUUUAAAUAAUAUUGGCAUG